GUUCUAAUAAUUUAAUUAAAAAUAUUGGUUUUGUAAACCAAAAUUAAGUAAUCUUUUAGAACU
RNAcentral lists this transfer RNA (63 nucleotides) under Elateroidea sp. 8 KM-2017. RNAcentral's name for it is "tRNA-Thr". The record is from RNAcentral. Lineage: Eukaryota; Metazoa; Arthropoda; Insecta; Coleoptera.